RNAcentral lists this long non-coding RNA (285 nucleotides) under Corvus moneduloides (New Caledonian crow). RNAcentral describes it as "lncRNA (ENSCMUG00000019087.1)". The record is from RNAcentral. Lineage: Eukaryota; Metazoa; Chordata; Aves; Passeriformes; Corvidae.
CUAAAUCCAUGUGCUAGCCAAAGCCCCAGCAACACUUUCCUUUGAACCAGUGUCUCUGUGGGAGCGUUCUCCAAUAUAACUUUGUAAUGCCUUGGAAUGCCACAGAGCUCUUGGAAACCAGAAGGGUGGCACACGGCUGCCAGAGUGUGUCUUGUGUGGACUAGGAGAAGUCAGCUGAAAUGGCAGGCUGGCUCACACUGAGCUCUUAGCCGCUGUCGCAGUAAGGGAUGGAAGCAGAAGGUGGAAAGCUGGAGAAGCUCCGAUCUCUCACUGGAGAGAGGGGAG